Molecule: long non-coding RNA, 2187 nt
Organism: Rhagoletis zephyria (snowberry fruit fly)
Lineage: Eukaryota; Metazoa; Arthropoda; Insecta; Diptera; Tephritidae
Source: RefSeq, a predicted model, not a curated record
CGCUCUAAACCCCCUCAUUUUUGUUUUUUUUAAAAGCCGGGUUCCGUAUUGGAAAAUUUUCCCAGUUUUACGAGAUCACAACAAUCCUCUGAAGCUGCCGGAGUCUGUGUAAGCAAGAGCAAAGCAUUAAGUAUACACGCAAAUAAGUGUUGUCAUUUGAGGCAGCAUACUUGUGUCCUUACAGAUUUGUAGCUCAUUAUCGGUUAAAAAAAGAGGCAUUUGUAAUGGUUCUAAAUACUAUCGAAAGGUAUAUACAACGAACUUCCAUUUCGCCAAUUAUUAAGUUGUGCGCAGUGCUUCGCUUCCUAGCAGAAGGAUCAUAUUAGCGUUCCGCAGGGAAUGAUAUGAAUAUAAGUUUGGAUAGAAGCACUGUAUCUGAAAUUUUAACACAAAUGUUAAGACUUUUGGAGAAUCACAUUUGCCUUCAAUGGGUCAAGUUGAAAAUGGAUCCAGACGAAAAAACAGCGUCGAGGGAUUAUUUUUUACAACAAAUUCAAAAUUCCUUGCAUCGUUGGAUGUAUCGAUGGGACGCAUAUUCAAAUAAUUAAACCUCAUAACAAUGAACAUUUAUUCUUCAACAGAAAAGGAUAUUUUAGUAUGAAUGCGAUGAUUACUUUUGGAGAAUCACAUUUGCCUUCAAUGGGUCAAGUUGAAAAUGGAUCCAGACGAAAAAACAGCGUCGAGGGAUUAUUUUUUACAACAAAUUCAAAAUUCCUUGCAUCGUUGGAUGUAUCGAUGGGACGCAUAUUCAAAUAAUUAAACCUCAUAACAAUGAACAUUUAUUCUUCAACAGAAAAGGAUAUUUUAGUAUGAAUGCGAUGAUUAUUUGUGACAGCAAUAUGAUAAUACGUGCGGUUGGUUCACGAUACCCCGGCACAAGCCACGAUUCUUUCGUAUGGAAUGUAAGCAAUGCGCGGCAAUAUUUUCUACGGGAAUAUGCAAAUGGGGACCGAUCAUCCAGACUACUGGGCGAUUCCGGAUGUGGUAUCGAUGCAUUUAUGUUAACACCCUAUUGGGAUCCCCAAUAUGCAACUCAACAAUACAAAUUUAAUAACGCGCAUUCCUCAGCCCGCAACAUAAUAGAGCGAACUAUAGGUGUUUUGAUUUCGUUGCUUGCAAAAAACUUUACACUAUCAACCUAGGAAGGUAGUUAAAAUUGUAAAUGUCUUUUGCGCGCUGCAUAACAUCUGUCGGCAGUAAAAUGUAGAAUGGAAUGAAAAUGCUAAUUUUACUGCAUCAGAAAAUGUUCAUGAAGACACUUUUAUGCUGCAAAACAGCAAUAUACAAAAUGAGGGCCGUAGAAUAAGGGAUGAGAUAGCUAAUAGUCUUUAAGCAAUAAUGCCUUACAACAUUGUAUACUAUGGUCUAUGUUCCAUGCAAACUUUGAAUUUAUUUAGGAGGUAGAGAGAAACGGAGGUAUUAAUUAAUGUAUAAAAGAUAUUAAAGGAAAUAGUUUAUGUGUUUAUGGAAACACCAACAACGCAAAUGCAAAUAGUUUACUCUGCAUUUACAUACGUGUUUUACGACUUCUUUUUUAAUUACAGAUAAUUAAUGCACGCGUUUUGUAUGUAAUGCAUUUUACCAAACUUGUGUAUUUAACUUUAAAUUUACCCACGUGGUCCAAUGAACAAGCUAUUGAGCAACAAUACAAGAGAGUACACCACUUGUGAACGGGUGACGUAAUCUUGGUGUUAUAUAUAAAAUUUGGGGUCGUACUUUCGUAUCGCUCUAUUAAGGCCACCUAUAAGGGGAAUUAUGAUCAGGAUUAGGAGCUGGUUAAAUAGGCAAAUAAAACAAAACAUAAGGUGCGAGUGCUUGGAUACACCUUACAUUCGAACCGAUGAUGCAGAGACGGUCGACGAAGAAGUCUUUGCUUUGGAUGAUUUAAAACCUGAUGAAUUUGUGACAACUAUAGUUAAAUAACGUGUCGCUUAAGUCGGAGGUUAUGCUUUGCAGGUUGCCAAGUAAAAGGUAAGUGAAGGAAAUUAAUGAUUAUUAAAGCAUGAAUAUGAAUAUUCCCUUUUUGCUUUGAAUAAUUCUUUAGCAGGUAUCAUCGGGGACCUUAUCUUGCUCCAGUACCCAUUUAACCAACAACGGGCACAUGUCAAGAAUGUCAAUGAGGAUUUUGUGGAAUUGCUGAUUCUGCUACGAAACUAUGGCAAGCUGGUGAAAGUGCAUACGAAAAUG